GGAAGUCAGGGCCGCGGCGCUUCUGGUCCCGGAGACUUGGGGCUCCCGGGCUUCUGAGCGGCUCGGGUUCCGCGCUGCCGGCAGGGCUUGGGGGCGCCUUAGAGCCGAACCCCGUUUUUUCAGGAAAGGGCGCUGCGACCACCCCCGUCCCGGGCCUCAGCCCCUCUGCUGCAGACCCUCGGGAUCGUCGCUGGCAAAUAGAUACAAGAAAUCUGAUCCUGUCCUCUCAAAGAAAACCCUCUGAAAUAAACUUAUCACCUUUAAAAAAGGGAUGUUGAAGAACAAGAUGGAUUUUUGUUGUUGUUGUCGUUUUUUGAGAUGGAGUCUCGCUCUUGUCGUCCAGGCCGGAAUGCGGUGGUGCGAUCUCGGCUCACUGCAACCUCCGCCUCCCAGGUUUAAGCGAUUCCCCUACCUCAGCCUCAUGAGUAGCUAGGAUUAUAGGCACCUGCCACCACGCCCGGCUAAUUUUUGUAUUUUUAGUAGAGACUGGGUUUCGCCAUGUUGGCCAGGCUGGUCUCAAUCUCCUGACCUCAGGUGAUCUGCCCGCCUCGGCCUCCCAAAGUGCUGGGAUUACAGACGUGAGCACCCAGCCUGGAUGUUGUUUUUGAUGACACUGCUAAGCACUUAUGUGAGGGAUUGUUUGGGUGGUUUGGGUCUAGAUCUAAGAUAAAGACAGUAGGAAAGAAAUGAGAGGUGGAAGGUUGUCCUAGGCUGAGGUGGUGGUCCAGGGACUUUCUGGCAGCCUGGAUGGAUGCCUGGGCAGAAUUUAUAUAUCUAGAAGAAUGGAAGAGGACCUCAUUGCAUGCCAUUGACUGUUCUCCAGUACCCAAGGGUAAAGGAACUGGAAAGAAAGACUCACUCAAGUGCAUUCACAUAAAAUGGGAAUCUAAUAGUAAUGGUGCCAAUUGUGGGGCAAAGAGUUCAAGGAGUUAUUUUGAAAAAUGAAAAAAAAAGCAAAGUAUCUUAAAUUUGUCUUAUAUUCAAUAAAUUGUCGGUGAUAAUGCUAUGGUGUGUGCAUUUGUAGAACCAACAAAGACUUAGUCAAGUGCCGAUUUGGUAGGAUUGUAAUUUUUCCGACAAAUUGUAUGAUCGCUACACACGUUAUCCUUCCCAUUGUGUGUGAUUUUCCCAGCUCCAGGAUGAAGAGGAUUGGUUUUACAAAAAUGGGCAAGGACACCAUCAAUUUCCCCACAAGUCUCUCUCUCUCUCUUUUUUUUUUUUUUUUUUUUAGACAGAAUUUCACUGUGUCGCUAGGCUGGAGUGCAGUGGCAAGAUCUUGGCUCACUGCAAUCUCCACCCUCCAGGUUCAAGCGAUUCUCCUGCCUCAGCCUCCUGAGUAGCUGGGAUUACAGGCACCCACCACCACGCCUGGCUAAUUUUUGCAUUUUUAGUAGCGACGAGGUUUCACCAUGUUGGCCAGGCUGGUCUUGAUCUCUUGACCUUGCGACCCGCCCGCCUUGGCCUCCCAAACUGCUGGGAUUACAGGCGUGAGCCACCGCACCUGGCCACGUCUCUCUUCAUCGUUUAAUAGUCUCACCCUUUCUUGUUGAAGGACCAUCCGGCCAUUAGCCAUGGGCGUGGCCUCACUCUCAGCCGCCUGACUGUGUAGCUUUGCCAGGGCCUCCCACACUGACCCACUGCUUUGGUCUCCAUCUGAGCAUCCCUGGCAUCCCAUUUGUG
Molecule: long non-coding RNA, 1680 nt
Filed under: Homo sapiens (human)
Lineage: Eukaryota; Metazoa; Chordata; Mammalia; Primates; Hominidae
Description: HSALNT0338928
Source: RNAcentral